Molecule: ribosomal RNA, 253 nt
Filed under: uncultured bacterium
Lineage: Bacteria
Description: partial 16S ribosomal RNA
Rfam family: Bacterial small subunit ribosomal RNA
Source: RNAcentral
UACGUAGGUGGCAAGCGUUGUCCGGAUUUACUGGGCGUAAAGAGCGCGCAGGCGGUCGGAUAAGUCGAAUGUGAAAGCCCCCGGCUCAACUGGGGAGGGUCAUUCGAUACUGUUCGACUCGAAGGCAGGAGAGGGAAGUGGAAUUCCCGGUGUAGUGGUGAAAUGCGUAGAUAUCGGGAGGAACACCAGUGGCGAAGGCGACUUCCUGGCCUGUUCUUGACGCUGAGGCGCGAAAGCGAGGGGAGCAAACGGG